GCCAGCAUGGUGUAGUGGCUUGAAUGUUGGACUACGACUCUGGAGACCAGGAUUCAAAUCCCUGCUCGGCCA
This 72-nucleotide transfer RNA is filed under the name Phrynosoma platyrhinos (Desert horned lizard). RNAcentral describes it as "tRNA-OTHER". Lineage: Eukaryota; Metazoa; Chordata; Lepidosauria; Squamata; Phrynosomatidae. The record is from RNAcentral.